AGAAAGACAAACCCUGGAUUUACGUGUCUAACUUUGACUGUCCGUCUUAUAUGAAUUUUUUUUUUAUAAUUUGUAUUUUUAUUGGUGUUAGAUGAUAACACAUGAUUAAUACUUUGUGCGUGACUUUUUUUUUUAAUUUUUUUUCAUAUUUUUUUCAAAUAAGACGGACGGUCAAACAUUGGGCACGGAAACCAGGGUUUGUCUUUUU
Non-coding RNA from Oryza nivara, 208 nucleotides. Lineage: Eukaryota; Viridiplantae; Streptophyta; Magnoliopsida; Poales; Poaceae. The record is from Rfam.